Molecule: ribosomal RNA, 391 nt
Filed under: uncultured bacterium
Lineage: Bacteria
Description: bacterial SSU rRNA
Rfam family: Bacterial small subunit ribosomal RNA
Source: RNAcentral
GAUGAACGCUAGCGGCAGGCCUAAUACAUGCAAGUCGAGGGGCAGCGCGGUAGCAAUACUGGCGGCGACCGGCGCACGGGUGCGUAACACGUAUGCAACCUACCUUCAACUGGAGGAUAGCCCGGGGAAACUCGGAUUAAUACUCCAUAACACAGGGAUCCCGCAUGGGAAUAUUGUUAAAGCUACGGCGGUUGAAGAUGGGCAUGCGUUCGAUUAGCUAGUUGGUGUAGGUAACGGCUCACCAAGGCUACGAUCGAUAGGGGGUCUGAGAGGAUGAUCCCCCCACACUGGUAACUGAGAUACGACCAGACUCUACGGGAGCAGCAGUAGGGAAUAUUGGUCAAUGGGCGCAAGCCUGAACCAGCUAUGCCGCGUGCGAGGAGAAGGCCCC